GCAGAACGCGAAGAACCUUACCAAGGCUUGACAUGCAUCUCUAAGCGCGUGAAAGCGCGUGACUCUUCGGAGGAUUUGCACAGGUGCUGCAUGGCCGUCGUCAGCUCGUGUCGUGAGAUGUUGGGUUAAGUCCCGCAACGAGCGCAACCCCUGUGAACAGUUGCCAGCACGUUAAGGUGGGGACUCUGUUCAGACUGCCCAGAUCAACUGGGAGGAAGGUGGGGACGACGUCAGGUCAGUAUGGCCCUUACGCCUUGGGCUGCACACGUACUACAAUGCCCAGCACAAUGAGAACCGAGACCGCGAGGUGGAGGAAAUCUAUAAAACUGGGCCCAGUUCGGAUUGGAGGCUGCAACUCGCCUCCAUGAAGCCGGAAUCGCUAGUAAUGCUGCAUCAGCUACGGCAGCGUGAAUACGUUCCCGGGUCUUGUACACACCG
Molecule: ribosomal RNA, 438 nt
Filed under: uncultured bacterium
Lineage: Bacteria
Description: bacterial SSU rRNA
Rfam family: Bacterial small subunit ribosomal RNA
Source: RNAcentral